This 318-nucleotide ribosomal RNA is filed under the name Triticum aestivum (bread wheat). Its description in RNAcentral is "partial small subunit ribosomal RNA". Lineage: Eukaryota; Viridiplantae; Streptophyta; Magnoliopsida; Poales; Poaceae. The record is from RNAcentral.
AUGCCUCGCCCCGUUCCCCAUUCCUGGGCUCCGGCGCGGGCGCGGACGGAGGCGAGCACGCGGGCGUGCGCGGACAGCAGCGACGGCUGGAGCUGUCGUCCUCUGCUCCGGCGUCCUCCAUCCUCCCCCGCGAUGCCACUGCCCCGCCUCGCCGCGCGCCGUCUCCGCAGCACCUGCCCCGCCUUGCCGCACAACCGCCACUGCCCCACCUUGCCGCACAACCGCCACUGCCCCACCUCGCCGUGCCGUCUCCGCAGCACCUGCCCUUCCUCGCCGCGCCGUCGCCAUCGCCAUCGCCAUCGCCAGAGAAAUGGGUAA